UACGAAGGGGGCUAGCGUUGCUCGGAAUCACUGGGCGUAAAGGGUGCGUAGGCGGGUCUUUAAGUCAGGGGUGAAAUCCUGGAGCUCAACUCCAGAACUGCCUUUGAUACUGGCGAGCUUGAGUUCGGGAGAGGUGAGUGGAACUGCGAGUGUAGAGGCGAAAUUCGUAGAUAUUCGCAAGAACACCAGUGGCGAAGGCGGCUCACUGGCCCGAUACUGACGCUGAGGUGCGAAAGCGUGGGGAGCAAACAGG
Molecule: ribosomal RNA, 253 nt
Filed under: uncultured bacterium
Lineage: Bacteria
Description: partial 16S ribosomal RNA
Rfam family: Bacterial small subunit ribosomal RNA
Source: RNAcentral